UUCUCAAAGUGUCUGGUUGCAGUGGUACACACCUGUAACCCCAGCACUUGGGAGGCUGAGGCAGGAGGAU
This 70-nucleotide microRNA precursor is filed under the name Cavia aperea (Brazilian guinea pig). Its description in RNAcentral is "miRNA (ENSCAPG00000003778.1)". The record is from RNAcentral. Lineage: Eukaryota; Metazoa; Chordata; Mammalia; Rodentia; Caviidae.